GUUUUCUCUCCUUUUAGUUAGUUUACAGAGAAAAACUGAGAAGAUCAAUACUUAUAAGAAAGAAAACAGAGAACUUUACUUCCUGAAGAAAUAUCCAUUUGGGAACAGAAGAAAAUAAAAAGGCCCUGGAAGACAAGUGUAAUGCAUUGAGGACUGUGAAAGCAACAAAGGAAGCAAAAGUCAAACAGCUGAAGGAGAAAGCAUAUCACCUAGAAGAAUUCUAUGAACAAAGAAAAGUGGCUACAGAAGAGAAGCUGAGAAUGAUAGUGUGAACUGAUGGCAAAGAAGAAUCAGCUGGCAGCUGCAGGUAA
This is a long non-coding RNA of Neofelis nebulosa (Clouded leopard), 311 nucleotides long. RefSeq lists it as uncharacterized. The transcript has 3 exons. NCBI's taxonomy places the organism in Eukaryota, Metazoa, Chordata, Mammalia, Carnivora, Felidae. The record is from RefSeq and is a predicted model, not a curated record.